Molecule: non-coding RNA, 26 nt
Filed under: Mus musculus (house mouse)
Lineage: Eukaryota; Metazoa; Chordata; Mammalia; Rodentia; Muridae
Source: RNAcentral
UGCAGUAGAUCAAGAGUUCAUCCUUG